Molecule: ribosomal RNA, 468 nt
Filed under: uncultured bacterium
Lineage: Bacteria
Description: partial 16S ribosomal RNA
Rfam family: Bacterial small subunit ribosomal RNA (bases 13-373)
Source: RNAcentral
GACGAACGCUGGCGGCGUGCUUAACACAUGCAAGUCGAACGGAAAGGCCCUGCUUUUGUGGGGUGCUCGAGUGGCGAACGGGUGAGUAACACGUGAGUAACCUGCCCUUGACUUUGGGAUAACUUCAGGAAACUGGGGCUAAUACCGGAUAGGAGCUCCUGCUGCAUGGUGGGGGUUGGAAAGUUUCGGCGGUUGGGGAUGGACUCGCGGCUUAUCAGCUUGUUGGUGGGGUAGUGGCUUACCAAGGCUUUGACGGGUAGCCGGCCUGAGAGGGUGACCGGCGGGAGUGGGAAGGAGAGACGGCGCAGAGGCGUACGGGAGGAAGCAGGGGGGAAGAGGGAAGACGGGGGGGAAGCGUGAGGCAGCAACGCCGGGGGAGGGAUGAAGGGGGGCGGGGUGGAAAACGCUGGCGGCGGGGACGAAGGGGGAGGGACGGUAAUGGGUAAAGAAGAAACGGCUAACUAAGGG